Molecule: long non-coding RNA, 1483 nt
Organism: Macrobrachium nipponense
Lineage: Eukaryota; Metazoa; Arthropoda; Malacostraca; Decapoda; Palaemonidae
Exons: 3
Source: RefSeq, a predicted model, not a curated record
GACGACAGUUAAAAAAAUUAGCAGUUCAGCUAUCGGGCCCACUUGGCAACUGAACGUCUUACGUAUAAGACAUUGCCAGAGGCCCCGAACUCCUUCGGGGUGGCGGGCAGCCUAGCAGCAAGAUAUAUAGGAGAAGGAUUCAUCUAGUGGCACAACUCAGAAACAGUGCCUGUGAGAAGUGCCACUGCCCAAAGAGAGCACUAAGUACUACCAGGUUCUAACCAUCAUCUCGCUGUGAUCGGGCCCUACUUGAAGAACUGUCAGACUUCUUGAGAGAAGGACGACAGCAGAAAACAACCAUGGACAGAAAACUUCUCUUACUAGUGGUGGUUACGUCACUUCUCGUCUCCAUCUGCAGUGUUGUCGAGACGCGCCAUUUACCGGGGACCGUUGGCGACUGCUCUGGCAAGUGUUACCGCCGGGAUCAACUCGGGAUCUGCCGAAGGCGCUUCUGGUGUGAGGAGGACGAUCCUACGACGGACACCGUGGUCAUCAUCGCCCCUUGCAGGAAGAGAUGUCACACGUACGUGAGAGGGAAAUGUAGGCUUAUGUUUUCCUGUGUGAUGGGUCGCUAAUGGCAAGAAGCUGAAAACAAGAAGAGUAGGCACGGCAUUUGUUUACAUCAGUGUUACCAAACGCUUGUGUGAGUACAUUGUUUAUGCCCUUGCGUAUUCGUGUGUGGGUGAACACAAUGUUGCAGGUAUCCUAUAACGAGGCAUUUACGAAUUACUCAUACAAUUAGUUAGGUAAGUACAGUACAAAUUGUAUCUUGAUAGUACUUUAGUGAUAGAUAUUCUUGCUGCAAAUAAAAACAUGCUAUCGUAAGCAAGGACACUUACCUAUAGGUGAAUUCAUUUUGUACAUCAGAGGGGAACAUAUGGUAAUGAUUAAAUCCUGUAUUUUGCUUAGCUUCUCGCUCAAAUGUGGAAAGUUACAUAAUUACGCAAUUAGACAGGUUAAUAUAGAUAUAGGCUAUCUGACGUUAUCACAGGUUAACAUAUUUGUGUAUGUAAACAUAUAUUUUACAUUCAUGAAAGAGCGUGUGUAUGUUUAUACUUCCAUACUUUUAUAUCUCAUUGUUAUUUUCCAUGUGGAAUGAUUGUGUAUGUGUAAUAAUGCUGUUUUAUCAACUUGCCACUGUUGCAAUACUUUAUUUAAACUUACGGCUUUAUAUAGUCUAGCUUGUCUCACAUUUAUUAAUUUACCCAGCAAUGUAUACAAACUGAUCCCAGUCAUGUAAUCCAAGAGUAACAUAUCGAUUUAGAAGAGAGAGAGAGAGAGAGAGAGAGUGAGAGAGAGAGAGAGAGAGAGAGAGAGACUACUGUGAGGAAAGAGGAUAUUCUUUGUUUAUUUACGAAUAUUACAAUUUCGACCGUUCCUAUAGCUUGUAAAUGAAUAACUAUUCUUCAUAGUUAGGUAACUGCAAUUCCAUCUUGACGUAAAUACAAAACAGCAAGUCCCACGUAUAUAUAUAUAUAUAUAU